Molecule: ribosomal RNA, 913 nt
Filed under: Campylobacter coli
Lineage: Bacteria; Pseudomonadati; Campylobacterota; Epsilonproteobacteria; Campylobacterales; Campylobacteraceae
Description: partial 23S ribosomal RNA
Rfam family: Bacterial large subunit ribosomal RNA
Source: RNAcentral
AACCCAGUGCUUGCACUGGGGGUUGUAGGACUGCAAUGUGCAAGAGGUGAGUUUAGCAGAACAUUCUGGAAAGUAUAGCCAUAGAGGGUGAUAGUCCCGUAUGCGAAAAACAAACCUUAGCUAGCAGUAUCCUGAGUAGGGCGGGACACGAGAAAUCCUGUCUGAAGCUGGGUCGACCACGAUCCAACCCUAAAUACUAAUACCAGAUCGAUAGUGCACAAGUACCGUGAGGGAAAGGUGAAAAGAACUGAGGUGAUCAGAGUGAAAUAGAACCUGAAACCAUUUGCUUACAAUCAUUCAGAGCCCUAUGUAGCAAUACAGGGUGAUGGACUGCCUUUUGCAUAAUGAGCCUGCGAGUUGUGGUGUCUGGCAAGGUUAAGCAAACGCGAAGCCGUAGCGAAAGCGAGUCUGAAUAGGGCGCUUAGUCAGAUGCUGCAGACCCGAAACGAAGUGAUCUAUCCAUGAGCAAGUUGAAGCUAGUGUAAGAACUAGUGGAGGACUGAACCCAUAGGCGUUGAAAAGCCCCGGGAUGACUUGUGGAUAGGGGUGAAAGGCCAAUCAAACUUCGUGAUAGCUGGUUCUCUCCGAAAUAUAUUUAGGUAUAGCGUUGUGUCGUAAUAUAAGGGGGUAGAGCACUGAAUGGGCUAGGGCAUACACCAAUGUACCAAACCCUAUCAAACUCCGAAUACCUUAUAUGUAAUCACAGCAGUCAGGCGGCGAGUGAUAAAAUCCGUCGUCAAGAGGGAAACAACCCAGACUACCAGCUAAGGUCCCUAAAUCUUACUUAAGUGGAAAACGAUGUGAAGUUACUUAAACAACCAGGAGGUUGGCUUAGAAGCAGCCAUCCUUUAAAGAAAGCGUAAUAGCUCACUGGUCUAGUGAUUUUGCGCGGAAAAUAUAACGGGGCUAAAGU